GGUGGCUCAGUGGUAGAGUGCUUGCCUUGCAUGCAAGAGGCCCUGGGUUCCAUUCCUCAGCACCA
This 65-nucleotide transfer RNA is filed under the name Dipodomys ordii (Ord's kangaroo rat). It matches the Rfam family "tRNA". Rfam says of the family: Transfer RNA (tRNA) molecules are approximately 80 nucleotides in length. Their secondary structure includes four short double-helical elements and three loops (D, anti-codon, and T loops). Lineage: Eukaryota; Metazoa; Chordata; Mammalia; Rodentia; Heteromyidae. The record is from Rfam by way of RNAcentral.